ACGCUCGACACCUACGGGGGCAGCGGUAGGGAAUCUUCCACAAUGGACGCAAGUCUGAUGGAGCAACGCCGCGUGAGUGAAGAAGGUCUUCGGAUCGUAAAACUCUGUUGUUAGAGAAGAACACGAGUGAGAGUAACUGUUCAUUCGAUGACGGUAUCUAACCAGCAAGUCACGGCUAACUACGUGCCUGCAGCCGCGGUAAUCUGAGCGGGCUGGCAAGGC
Molecule: ribosomal RNA, 222 nt
Filed under: uncultured bacterium
Lineage: Bacteria
Description: partial 16S ribosomal RNA
Rfam family: Bacterial small subunit ribosomal RNA
Source: RNAcentral